Molecule: ribosomal RNA, 253 nt
Filed under: uncultured bacterium
Lineage: Bacteria
Description: partial 16S ribosomal RNA
Rfam family: Bacterial small subunit ribosomal RNA
Source: RNAcentral
UACGGGGGGGGUAAGCGUUGUUCGGAAUUACUGGGCGUAAAGGGCUCGUAGGCGGCCAACUAAGUCGGACGUGAAAUCCCUCAGCUUAACUGGGGAACUGCGUCCGAUACUGGAUGGCUUGGAUCCGGAAGAGGGAUGCGGAAUUCCAGGUGUAGCGGUGAAAUGCGUAGAUAUCUGGAGGAACACCGGUGGCGAAGGCGGCAUCCUGGGCCGGUAUUGACGCUGAGGAGCGAAAGCUAGGGGAGCAAACGGG